GUGUGUAGCCAGUGCCAAGAAGAUCCUUUCAACAUUAAAGGAAGAUAUUUUAUGAAGGAUAUUAUUAUUCACUAUUCACUAAAUAUGGAUGGUUUUAUUCCUGGCAAUUAAUAGUAGAUGAUAAGCCGCCAGCUCAACGCAAUUAAUCAUUACUAAACAUAGAUCAAAUUGGUUGGCUAUAUAUAUACAAACAUAUAGCAGUUAGCAAGUAUACCGUUGUCGACCAUAUGCAAAAAAAAAUCCUUACAAACUAAAACUACUCAUAUUAGCAAGGAUAAAGCUUAUAUUACCAUGGACAGAGGCAAGGUGAUUAUGCUUGUGAUGGUCAUCCUUCCAUGCCUCAUAAUAUUUUCUCAGGGUGAGUACCCAAAAAUAAUGAGUUGAACUUCUCGUAAAGAUAUUGGUUAAUCUUAUAUGAUCUUGGGAAAAAAUCCCAUUGAGAACCAUCACUAAGUUAUUUUGAAAUUUUGUAUAAAUUUUUGUAAUACCUAAUUGAAUGAGAACACACUUAUUUGCAUAUGCAGCUCAAGCAACUGAUCAGCUGGAUAGCGGUAAGAUCGAGUUAUGCAUAUGCCCAGAGAAAGAUCCACCUGCCCAAAUGGUUUGUGCUUCUGUUGUGCACUGGAGCAAGAACGUUGCUCUAGGACUAGGAAAGAAUGCAUUUGUGAACCUGGUUGCCACCAACCUCCUUCAGAUGCAACCUACCCCCGUCCCCUCUCUUUGCCUUAAAACACUGUUUCAGAUUGUUGUGAUGAAAAGUAUUGUCAUGAAUAUCUUGGAGUAAAGAAAUAAGUUAUAAUCAUCACAUGGUUAGCUUUAUGUUCCUUUGGAUUGAAUUGAUAUAUAGUCAUAUUCUUAUGUUUCCAAAGUGUAGCAUGGGCUAUAUAUGCCAUGAACUACUGGGAGUAUGAACUUUUUAAGGUAUAUUUUUG
Molecule: long non-coding RNA, 932 nt
Filed under: Triticum aestivum (bread wheat)
Lineage: Eukaryota; Viridiplantae; Streptophyta; Magnoliopsida; Poales; Poaceae
Description: long non-coding RNA (TAES_LNC004112)
Source: RNAcentral